CGCAGCUAACUGUGUGAAAUCGUGUGAACUGCAGGACACAUGAACAUCGACAUUUUGAACGCACAUUGCGGUCCAUGCGAAUGUUUUUUAAUCUAUAUUAAACUGCAUGGACCACGUAUGGUUGAGUGUCGUAAAUGAUAAGCAGAACAUAUUGUUUCUUUUCUUUUCUUCUUCUGAAGAGAAAAAAGAACAUGGGGGCUAUGAAUGACUUGUUCUCAUUCAUGCUCUAAACAUUGUAGUAUGAGGCACGUUUUGAAUAUGUAACCCAAGACAAAUGUAAUAUUACAUGGUAGAGAGGUAUAUAUAUAUCAUAGUCAUUGAAUUAAUUUACAUACGACCAUUGUUUAUAUACUCUCGCUGUAUUUUAUUACAAGGGGAUUUAUUCAUUAAAAAAUGUGCGCAUAUGAAUGAAAAUAUAUAAAACGCGACCUCAACUCAUGCGUGACUACCCCCUGAAUUUAAGCAUAUUAAUAAGCGGAGGAAAAGAAACUAACCAGG
Molecule: ribosomal RNA, 498 nt
Filed under: Phlebotomus fertei
Lineage: Eukaryota; Metazoa; Arthropoda; Insecta; Diptera; Psychodidae
Description: eukaryotic LSU rRNA
Rfam family: Eukaryotic large subunit ribosomal RNA (bases 426-498)
Source: RNAcentral